ACCAGCAUGGUAUAGUGGUUUGAACAUUGGCCUGAGAUUCUGGAGACCAAGGUUCAAUUCCUUGCUUGGCC
This is a non-coding RNA of Phrynosoma platyrhinos (Desert horned lizard), 71 nucleotides long. The record is from the annotation of a GenBank genome assembly. NCBI's taxonomy places the organism in Eukaryota, Metazoa, Chordata, Lepidosauria, Squamata, Phrynosomatidae.